This 429-nucleotide ribosomal RNA is filed under the name Gemmatimonadota bacterium. Its description in RNAcentral is "Gemmatimonadetes bacterium partial 16S ribosomal RNA". It matches the Rfam family "Bacterial small subunit ribosomal RNA", at positions 355 to 776 of the family's 1533-position model. Lineage: Bacteria; Pseudomonadati; Gemmatimonadota. The record is from RNAcentral.
UAGGGAAUCUUCGGCAAUGGACGAAAGUCUGACCGAGCAACGCCGCGUGAGUGAAGAAGGUUUUCGGAUCGUAAAACUCUGUUGUUAGAGAAGAACAAGGACGUUAGUACCUGAACGUCCCCUGACGGUAUCUAACCAGAAAGCCACGGCUAACUACGUGCCAGCAGCCGCGGUAAUACGUAGGUGGCAAGCGUUGUCCGGAUUUAUUGGGCGUAAAGCGCGCGCAGGCGGUUUCUUAAGUCUGAUGUGAAAGCCCCCGGCUCAACCGGGGAGGGGCAUUGGAAACUGGGAGACUUGAGUGCAGAAGAGGAGAGUGGAAUUCCAUGUGUAGCGGUGAAAUGCGUAGAUAGAUGGAGGAACACCAGUGGCGAAGGCGGCUCUCUGGUGUGUAACUGACGCUGAGGCUAGAAAGCGUGGGGAGCAAACAGG